Molecule: long non-coding RNA, 8126 nt
Filed under: Marmota monax (woodchuck)
Lineage: Eukaryota; Metazoa; Chordata; Mammalia; Rodentia; Sciuridae
Rfam family: tRNA (bases 991-1059)
Source: RNAcentral
GCCCAUUUCCUCCUCUUUGGGUGUUUACUGGCGCCUGAAUUUCACAGGAACCUUUGGAAGUGUGUACUGACAAAGAGCAUGCAAAAUUGUUCCUGCUUCAGGGACAGUUUAGGAAGAAAAUGAUACUGUGCCUGCCUGGACUUCACAAGCCCUGGGCUCAGGGACACAGGAAAGAGAUACCAGGUGUCAAGUCCACAGGGAGAGGCAGGAAGGCAGGCAAGAGGAGGGAGACAUGGCUGAUGCCAGGCCCAGCUUCCAGAUCCAGCUCUGGGGAGGCUGAUGAAUAGACCCUUUAUCUAAGCAGAAGGGUGGGGGCUGCAGAAAGGGGUCUCAGGUAACAGGAGUCUCAGAACAAGCUCAAAAGAUCUCAUCCUUUUCUUCACAGAAGAAAUUCUAGCUGGAGAGAAGCUUCUUAGAAGGUCCUUAUUUCUCAGCCAUUUUCCCAGGACCCUCAUUUGGGAGGUCCCUCCUCAAUCCCACAGACCUUGCUGGGUGACCUGGAGACAUCAUCAGAAGUGCAGAGUCCAUUAUGGUUAAAGGCACUGACUUUUGGCCUCCAAUUCCCAGCAAUUCCAGUGACUGGCUAGAUGCCCCAGGCAAGUCAUUUCACCUGACUCUCAGCUUCCUCCUAGCAGAGAAUAAUCAGAGUCACCUCACAGAUAAGCCUGGAGGACCAUAGAACAUUGCUCAGCAAAGGUAAGAGCUCUCAAUAAUGGUUAGAUAUUAUUUUAUUGAGAAUAAAGACAGGGGCCAGAUGUGGUGGCGUAUGCCUGUAAUCCCAGCGGUUUGGGAGGAUGAGGCAAGAGCAUCGUGAGUUCAAAGGCAGCUUCAGCAAAAGUGAGGUGCUAAGCAAUUCAGCAAGAUCCUCUCUCUAAAUAAAAUACAAAAUAGGGCUGGGGAUGUGGCUCAGUGGUUGAGUGCCCCUGAGUUCAAUCCCAAGUACAAAAAAAAAAAAAAGAAAGAAAGAAAAAGAAUAAAGGGAGGAGGGCUGGGGUUGUGGCUCAGUGGUAGAGCGCUUGUCUAGCAUGUGUGAGGCUCUGGGUUUGAUUCUCAGCACCACAUAUAAAUAAAUGGAUAAAAUAAAGGUCCAUCAACAAAUAUAUAUAUAUACACACACAUACACACACACACACACAUAUAUAUAUAUAUAUAUAUAUGUGUGUGUGUGUGUUGUGUGUGUGUGUAUGUGUGUAUAUAUAUAUAUGUAUAAAAUUUUUUUAAAAAAGGAUAAAGACUUGCUAGGUGCGGUGGCACACACUUGUAAUCCCAGCAGCUCAGGAGGAUGAGGCAAGAGGAUCGUGAGUUCAAAGCCAGCCUCAGCAACAGUGAGGCACUAAGCAACUCAGUAAGACUCUGUCUCUAAAUUAAAAAAUUAAAAAAUAAAAGAGCAGGGGGUGUGGCUCAGUGGUUGAGUGCCCCUGAGUUCAAUCCCCGGUACCCCUACCCCCCCAAAAGAAAAAAAGUCCUGGAGAGCCUUUGCUCUGAAGCUGGGGUCUCACUUUCCUGCUUUUCUCAAUAUCUUAAUGACUGUUCCGGGAUUAUCAGAAAAGAAUCGGGCUUCCCCUCCCCCAGAGCUGUGAAACCAAGUGGCAAAGCUUGCUCAAGCUCCUGAGUCAUUCAGCAAAACCGGCCCAAGAUAAUCAGUGGAUCAAGGAAACUAGAUGCAGAGUGGGAAAACCCCAGCCACAAAGCUGGGGCCUCCUCGGAGAGCAGUUCCCUCUGCAGGCCUUUCUGCUUUCACUUGGGCUCCACAAAUAAGACAGCACCUGGCAGCUGAAGCCUUCUCAGGCCCUCCCAUCCCCAGAUGAAGGCAUUAGUUACACCUGGGUCUCUAGCCAGCAGCCAGGCCUUCCCCUGGCAUCUUGUUGGACACAAACUCUGCUUUUGGACUAAUUCUCUCCUUCUCUCCACACCCCAGUGCUCGAAGAGUUGCCAUCCAGUCUCCCAUCCUCCCUACUCACUCAUUUUUCAGCCCAGGGUUUCUGGUUUCUGCACAACCACUUUAUGACAUGCUUAUCCCAUUCACUGAUAAAUUCUUAAUUGCCAAAUCCAAAAAGUUGUAUCCAAGCCUUCUUCCUUCCUCUAAAUAUGUGCUGCUGAUGAUCACUCUUCUUUUUAAAUGGACAGACCUCCGUGGGCUUCUGUGAGGCCACCACCCCUGGUUCUCCUCCUGCAACCAGCAUUUCUGGCAGCUCUCUGUGCCUUUAGCAGUACUCCUUGUGGUUCUACUGGUUAGCCCCCUUCCCUUCCACCCCUCAGGCCUGCUCCCACAGUUAGCCUGUGCCUGUGUUUUCGACUUCUCUCUCUUAACCAGUGACUUAGUGCAUAUAUCAAGCCCACAUCUUUCCCCAAAGGAUGCCUGCUACCGCCUGUUACCAAGCAGCUCUACCAGCAUGACCCCAGGCACAGCACAGCAAGCUCCACAAAACACAAAGGAACUCUUUAUCUUCCCCCAACCCUUCUUCUCUUGGUAUUCUGGAUUUUUUAAAAAUUAUUAUUUAUUUAUUUUUGUGGUGCUGGGGAUUGAACCCAGGACCUUGUGGAUUUGAGGCAAGCACUCUACCAACUGAGCUAUAUCCCUAGCCAGUAUUCUCAAUUUUGAUGAAGGACACCACUUUUUACUGUUACCUAAGUCAGAGGGUCUUGCCCCCUCUCAGCCCAUUACGUACUUUUUUUUUUUUUUUUGACUCUAGGGAUUGAACUCAGGGUGCUUAACCACUGAGCUAAAAUCUCAACGCUUUUUAUUUUUUUAUUUUGAGACAGGGUCUCACUAAGUUGCUUAGGGCCUUGCUAAAUUACUGAGGCUGAUUUUGAACUUGAGAUCCUCCUGCCUCAGCCUCCCAAGUCACUAGAGUUGGCAUCAUGUUCUUAACAACUUAUAAAUUAAUCUCCCUUCUCUCUAACCCACUAUGUCUACUUUAGUAGAGGCCUUUAUUACAUGUCUGGUGUAAUAAGUGGGCACCAGCCUUCAUUUCCUUCCCCUUGUACUAGGCUCUUCUUGGAGUGUCUGCCCAUCUACAGUUCUUUUCCUGAGAACCUGCUAUUUCCCACAAACCUUGCUGAAGAGGUGCCCUGGGUCCCAUGUGGACCUCACUGAUGCAGUCUGCCCUGCUAUGGCCAUAGUACUUGGAAUCAGAGAUCCACAUUUGACCCAAUCUGGGAUGAAUUUUGUCUCUAGGGACUCUGAAACCAGGCCAAAGUGACUCAAGUUCAAAUGCCCCCAAGGAUCACAACAGUAAUGAAAAGGAGUGAAACACCCAAUGAAGGACAAUAGGGAAGGCAGCAACCAAGGCAAUGAGAGUGUGUGCCUGGGCUCCAGGCAGCAGCUGCUACUCUGCUCUAGCAGAUGGUUGCCAUGGGAAUAUAAGACCAGAGUUGUCAGAUAUUCUGAUUUUCCAGAUUUUUAUUUGAAGUUUCCCAAUUUUUUAAUUUGGGGCACUAAUUCAUUUUUCUAAAUGCCACAGGCUAAGCAUAUUUUUUGCAUCAUAUUUGGCCUACAGGGCUGUCACUUUGCAAUUGGUGCCAAGGAGUCAGGUUUAGGCACUGGACCCAAAGCUGAACACAGUCACUUCCUGCCAUGUAUAUGGAAAACCAGAGAAAACUCUCUCUCUCUCUCUCUUUUUUUUUUUUUUUUGGUGCUGGGGAUUGAACCCAGGGCCUUCUGCAUGUGAGUCAAGCACUCUACCAACUGAGCUAUAUCCCCAUCCCUCUCUUUUUUUAAUAUCUUUUAUUUAUUUUUUUAAAGAGGGGGGAGAGAGAGAGAGAGAGAGAGAGAGAGAGAGAGAGAGAGAGAGAGAAAGAAAGAGAAUUUUAAUAUUUAUUUUUUAGUUUUCGGCAGACACAACAUCUUUGUUUGUAUGUGGUGCUGAGGAUCGAACCCGGGCCGCAUGCAUGCCAGGCGAGCGCGCUACCGCUGAGCCACAUCCCCAGCCCUAUUUUUAUUUUUAUGUGUGUUAAGGAUUGAACCCAGUGCCUCAUGCAUGCCAGGCAAGUGCUCAACCACUGAGCUACAACCCCAGCCCCUCUCUCUUUUUAAAUUUAUUUUUUAUUUUUAAUUUUUUGGUACUGGGAAUUUAACCCAGGAUACUUAUCCCCUGAGCUACACUACUGGCACCACCACCCCCACUUUUUUUUUUGAGGCUGGCUUCAAAUUUGUAAUCCUCCUGCUCAGCCUCCUGGAAGUCACUGGGAUUACAGGCAUGAGCCACAGCACCCCACUCUGAUUCACUCUUUUUAAAUUAUUUUUUAAUUUGUUCUAAUUAGUUAUACAUGACCAUUGAAUGCAUUUGACACAUCAUAUCUAAAUGGAGUAUACUCAUUCUUCUAGUUGUACAUGAUGUAGAGUUACACUGGUUGUGUAAUCACUUAUGCACACAGGGUAAUAAUGUCCGAUUCAUUCUACUAUCCUCUGAUUCACUCUUAUAUCCCCUGAACACAGAGAGGAGUACAUAUAGAACCUUCAAUAAAUGUAUAUCAAAUAAAAGAAUGGCUGGAAUCAGUGGCGAACAUCUGUAAUUCUGGUGAUUUGGGAGGCUGAUAUAGUCAGAUGGCAAGUUUGAGUCUAUCUUCACUAACUUAGUGGGACCUGUCUCAAAAUUUAAAAAACAAAAAGCACUGGGGAUGUAGCUCAGUGGUGAAGUGCCCUUGGGUUCAACCCUCAGUCCUGCAAAUAAUAAUAAACAUGUAGUAAAAGAAUAAGAGAAUUUUAUUUACUUUCCUCCAGCGUUUUUCAACAUAUCCCAGGAGGUGAUUGAUGAACAUUUUAAUCCUCUGUUUCUAAAAAUAGGUUCCAGAAUCUCUGUAAUUUUUUUUUUCUUUUUUGAGAUUCUGGAGAUCAAACCCAAGGCCUCAUGCAUGCUAGGCAUGUACUUCACCACUGAGCUACACCCCAGCCUUGGAAUCUCUGUUAAUAACACUCCAUUUUUCUUUGGGGGAACAGUAACACCUCAGCUCUGGAAUGAUCAUGUAACCCAGGGCUAGCCAAUCAGACAACUGUCCCCUGGUCACAGGGAUUGGUUCAGAAUAAGCUCUGGCUCAAUCAAAGACAAUCAGAACUGAAACUAUCGGAAAGGGGAAAUUUGCUUCCCCCUGAGAAAACUAAGUCAUGCGACGGAGCUGCUCGAAGCCACAUUAUCACCACAAGGGAAAAAGCCUCCCUGGGAAUGAAGUACACACAGAAGAAGGUCAAACUGAGAGAUGAAAAGAGAUAGAUGGUUCCUGGCAGUGUUUUUGAGCAAGUGGAUCCAGCUGUGCCUGAAAUCAAGCCCUUGACUUUUCUGUUAGAGAUAAAAAGUUCCCUUUUUUGUUUAAGUAAACUUGAGUUGGGUUUCCAACCCUUUUCCUCUAAUAGAAUGCUGUUUAAUAUUGGGGUUUUAUACAGACAGGGAGACAAAGUAGACACCUUUAUAGGAAUCUGCCAGCCAGCGAUGAUCCCUGUCCUUUAAGAACUUCCCCCGGCUGAUAGCCAUGUGUGUACUACCUAGUGCUGCCCAUGAAGGCAACCACUGUUUGGAUCAGAAGUGGACACAUAUCAAAAGGUUAUCAGAUCAGAUUCUCUCUCCUGGGGAUUUGGGUUUAGAAUAAGAGAUCCCAGCUCAGUCUAGGCUGCAGACCUAAAGUGAGCGGAUGUAAAAUUGGAAGCUGGAAGAAGGCCACAUUCAUGGCAAGGCAAAGAACCUGAUCUGCUAAAGGAGAAGAGUGAGCUAGAUGCACUUACGGAAGCAGAGGCUGGAGGCCAUGAUUUCCCAGAGAAAGAGAAACAGAGAGAACACUGCUUCCUCAUUCCUCCUGAGACUAAUUAUUUUUUCUCUUGGGCUCCAUGAGACUUCUCUGUGUUCGUGUAAUUCCCUCCCCCACCAUUACUCCUCCUUUAAAAAAAAAAAAAACAAAACUUAAAAUAGCUCUAGUGUUGUUUUGGGUUUUGUGUUUACUUGCAACUGAAAGGUUUUUUGUUCUGUUUUGUUUUUUUGUGGUGCUGGGGAUCAAACCCAGGGCCUCUUGCAUGCUAGAUGAGUGCUCUACCACUGACCUACACCCCCAACAAUUUUAGUUAUUUUUAUUUUAUUUUGAGACAAGGUUUGGCUGAGUCCCUGAGGCUGGCCUUGAACUUGGGAUCCUCCUGUCUCAUCCUCCUGAGUGGCUAGAUUCAAAGGUUAUCAGGCGACUAUCCUAGGAGUAAGUCUACAGCUAAGCUGUCCUGUUCCCUAAGCUGACAUUGAUGCUGAAUCCCUGAAUCAAGACACCCAAACAUCAAAUUCCUCUCUGUGAAACCUUGGCCAAAACACCUGGAUUCACAGGACUGGCUUCCUCCUCUGCAAAAUGAGAAUAAUCAUCCCUAUCUUAACGGGUUGUUAGGAAGACCACAUGAAAAAAGGUGGAAAUAAGAGCCUGGCACUUUGCUGGGCACAGGGAAGCCAUGUUACCUUGUGUGAAUGCAGAAGCAGGAUCCAAGCCUAGAGCCAGACUACUGGUAGGUCCCAGCCAGGACCUGAACAAAAAGCAUAAAGAACAGCCCUUCUCCCCCUCAGCACCUUUUCAUCUCACUUGUACCAAAUUUUUCAAAAGCACAGGGAGCAAGGGAGUAUCUUUGUUUUUUCAAAAUGCCCAUUCUGGAAAUCUAAUCUAAUGAUAUAAUCAGACAAGAGAAACUACAUAGGCCGAAGGAUGCUCACUGCAAUAGUGUUUUGUUUUGUUUUGGUUGGGUUUUUUUGUGUCCUGGGGAUUGAACUCAGGGGCACUUGACCACUGAGCCUCAUGCCCAGCCCUAUUUUUUAUAUUUUAUUUAGAGACAAGGUAUCACUGAGUUGCUUAGCACCUCUCCUUUGCUGAGGCUGGCUUUGAACUCAUGAUCCUCCUGUCUCAGCCUCCCAAGCCACUGGGAUUUCAGGUAUGCGCCACCGCACCCAACAUGAUAGUGAGAUAGUGUUUAUAGUAUAGAAAAAAACUGUCAAUGACUUAAAUGUCCAGCAUUACAUGUGGUACAUACAUACGAUGAGAUGUUAUAAAGAUGUGGAGGAGAAAAAGACAUCGUAUUUUUAAACAAACACAAAGGGGAAGGAGAAUGCAAAAUGUAUGGGGUAUAAAAAAAAAUGUAUGGGGUAUAAUGCAAAAUUUGUCUGAACUUUUAAGGUAAAAAGCACACUAUUUCAGAGAAGUUUCUCCUGUUCUGUUACAUUCCAGUUCCACACACAGUCUCACUACUACCUGCCUGGCUAAGCAUUCAUCUUCUCUGCCUUUGGGGUUACUGGGGUAGAAAAAUUUAUGAAGCAUUUAUGUAAGUACAAGUCCUGAGGCCUCUAACAUUAAAGAUAUUGACAAGGAUAGAUAACCACACAUUUUCUGAGUUAAAAAAAAUCAGGUUACAAAAACAUUGCCAAAAAGUGAACAGUGGUCAUACUUUGUACUUUUAUGUAUUAUUAGAAGUUUUUGUAAUGUCAUGUACUAUAUUUAUGGAAAAUAUAUAUAUAUAUAAUGAAGCUAUUUUCAUGAGAGGUGGUCCAUCUUGAUUUUAUACUUUUUAUCGUGUUCUCUAAUAUGUUCAACUAGAUUUCCUCUAAUGCAUCCUUCUUCUUCAGGAAUAUAAUUUACCUGGCUGUCCUGUCCUCUUGGAAGCUGCUCCACACAAGAGCUUCUUUGUACGGAGAAGGCCCUUCAACAGCCUGGAACGCUAGGCAGCUCAUUACUACCCUCUCGUGGUCAGAACAGGUCAGCACCGGAUCUAGCUAAACAGCUUGCUCAGGACAUCCUGAAAGCCAAGGUCAACCCCAACAGGCUGACUUCUGGCCUACCCACCGCAGUCAGUGUGCUGCACACCAGCAUCAGUGGUUCAGCAUCCCACUCCCAAACAGGCCAUGACCCAGGCUUAGCCAGGCUGAGCCUAAUGAUUGCAAAUCUGGCCAAUGCUGUCUACUCCAAGCCAGAGGCUCCCAGAAGAUGCCCUUUUCCAACUGCCAAAGCAGAAUGAUGGAGAGCUCUCCGGUCCGCCAGAGAGCACUGAUGGUCAGGACUGGGCCUGGAGAUGGCAUAGAGCAGGGCUGCAGGAAGACAACUGCAAUCCUUCUAAUCACAAAACCCUUGCUCUCCUACACCUCUUUUUUUCCUUUCAAAAUAUUGCCCAAGGCAACUUG